RNAcentral lists this long non-coding RNA (826 nucleotides) under Pogona vitticeps (central bearded dragon). Its description in RNAcentral is "lncRNA (ENSPVIG00000017908.1)". Lineage: Eukaryota; Metazoa; Chordata; Lepidosauria; Squamata; Agamidae. The record is from RNAcentral.
UAAGAUCAGUAUUAAAACACAUUUAAAACUGAUGUUCUGGACCGCAGUUCUCCCGCACCCCAACUAACAUGGCCAGCGGUUAUGAGAAUUUACGACUAAAACAUCUGGAGGGCACCAGUUUGCUUAACUCCCCGAAAUCCCUUUUAGAAAGGGGGGGGGGGAAGGAAGCGUAGUUCCCCUUCCUUCCUUGCCCAGCAACCAGUGACGAAAGCAGGAACGCGCUUUUCCUAUUGGCUGGGGAAUUCCCACUCUUGUUUCCCUCUGAACUGCCUUCUCCGCCCAGCUGGAUUCACAACCGGGUGACCGCCGGAGGCAGGGAGAGAAGAAAGGCUGGAAGGUCGCCUUUGUAGGGGGGACAUUUUGGUUGCAGGACAUGUUGUCUAAAGCAAGCACGGAUUUUGCUGAGGAGGACAAUAUUCCAUCCGGCACAACACAGAGGCUCCUGUUCAGGUGGAUUGUGCAGGAGGGUGAUGGAGGUACCGCCUCACUGGGGAAUGGAAGGACAUUCAGAAAUAACGAAAUGACGCCCUCAGCGCCUCCUCGGUCCCUUUCUCUUUGUGGCAUAAAGGAAGCAGCUUUUGUUAAGCCAGAACAGGUACUGAAGGGAAAACGGCAAAGCAGGUUUGAGGGGAUCAACGGGUUGUCUUUCUCUCCUUUGUCUCUCCCUCCAGACUUCUUUUUCCUUCUGUUGAAAACUGCCCAGUAAGAAUGGGUGGAACACCUGCUGAAAAACAUUGAAUCUUCUUAGAGAACCUCAGCCCAGCUCCCGUCCCUUUGAAUGCUUCGUCAAAGUCCCGGGUGGCAAAUAAAGUUCAUGGCACCGCCA